AUCGAAGCCCAUUGUCGAUUUCCUACUCGUAGGUGUUGGUGCUGGGUGAAUGAUGACUUCCCGUGAGCUUUUUUGUCUCAUGGUUGGUUGAAAAUUGAGACCAUGGUAGGGUGUGCCAUGAUAGAUGGUGGUUGUGUGUCGCACGAGACCAAUCAUGCGCUGCCCUAUUGAAUUUUGGCCUCUUGUACCCAUUUGCGCUUCCAAACGCUCGUGA
RNAcentral lists this unclassified non-coding RNA (214 nucleotides) under Cicer kermanense. Lineage: Eukaryota; Viridiplantae; Streptophyta; Magnoliopsida; Fabales; Fabaceae. The record is from RNAcentral.